AACACUUAGGGUGGUACCUAACACUACAGGGAGAUAACUCUGUAAAAUCAGCAGAACGUUUUAAUGACGUUUUGUUGUUAAGGGAAUAUCAAGCUUCUCAAUGAUCAAAAUAAGUUUUUGUCAAACUGCUAUAUAACCAGUGUAAUUUUUCUGAUUAAACGGUUGGUUCAAAGUUUUUGAAAUUUUUAUAUUUUUGUCAAAG
RNAcentral lists this long non-coding RNA (202 nucleotides) under Mytilus galloprovincialis (Mediterranean mussel). Lineage: Eukaryota; Metazoa; Mollusca; Bivalvia; Mytilida; Mytilidae. The record is from RNAcentral.